GGGGAACCGCCUGAACUGAAACAUCUAAGUAGGGCGAGGAAGAGACAUCAAACGAGAUUCCGUAAGUAGUGGCGAGCGAACGCGGAAGAGGGCAAACCGAAGGUAGAAAUACCUUCGGGGUACGGAGCGCAUUUAAGACUCAAGUUGUUAACCGAACGGCAUGGGAAGGCCGGUCAGAGAGUGUGAGAACCACGUAGGUGAAAACGGAAAGAGCUGCGCAGAUUCCAGAGUACGGCCAGACACGUGAAACCUGGUCGGAAGAUGGGGGGACCACCCUCCAACCCUAAAUACUACCCAGUGACCGAUAGCGUAUAGUACUGUGAAGGAAAGGUGAAAAGCACCCCGGGAGGGGAGUGAAAAAGAACCUGAAACCCUGUGCCUACAAGCACCUAGAGCACGUCAAAGUGUGAUAGGGUACUUUUUGUAGAACGGUCCGGCGAGCGAUUGUAUGCAGCAAGGUUAAGGACUUAAGGUCUGGAGCCGAAGCGAAAGCGAGUUUGAAAAGGGCGUUAAGUUGCAUAUAAUGGGCCCGAAACCGGGUGACCUACCCAUGGUCAGGUUGAAGUGGAAGUAAAAUUCCAUGGAGGACCGAACCGACCUCCGUUGAAAAGGCGGCGGAUGAACUGUGGGUAGCGGAGAAAUUCCAAUCGAACCCGGAGAUAGCUGGUUCUCCCCGAAAUAGUUUUAGGACUAGCCUCAAGUUAGAUACCUGGAGGUAAAGCACUGAAUAGCCUAGCGGCCGAGAGGUUAGCGAAGCUUAUCAAACUCAGAAUGCCAGAGUAUUGAUGCUUGGGAGUCAGACAGUGUCAGAUAAAUGUCAUUGUCAAAAGGGAAACAGCCCAGAUCUACAGCUAAGGUCCCAAAGUCAGGUUAAGUGGAAAACGAUGUGAAGAUACGCAGACAACCAGGAUGUUGGCUCAGAAGCAGCCACUCAUUCAAAGAGUGCGUAAUAGCUCACUGGUCGAGCGUCUUUGCGCGGAGAAUUUAACGGGGCUAAACCUGACACCGAAGCUUAGGCAAUCCAGUAAUGGAUUGGGUAGGGGAGCGUUGUAUACGCGGAGAAACAGUAGCGUAAGCGGCUGUGGAGUGUAUAGAAGUGAGAAUGCCGGAAUGAGUAGCGCGAAUGCAGUGAGAAUCUGCAUGGCCGAAAGCCUCAGGUUUUUGGAGGAAGGUUCGUCCGCUCCAAGUUAGUCGGGAGCUAAGGUGAGGCCGGAAGGCGUAGCCGAUGCACAGACGGUAGAGAUUCCGUCACCACCAAAAGAGUUAAGCACAGGGACACAUUUGAAGUCUCAGAGCCGGGUGUUGGUUCCGGUAGAGAUCGAGGGAAGUUAGUACCGAAGUCUGGGAUGGAAGAUGGCGAGAAAAGCUGUGUGUAUUUCUGAGGUGCCCGUACCGCAAACCGACACAGGUAGGUAGGAAGAAGAUUCUAAGGCCAACGGGAGAAGGGUUGUUAAGGAACUCGGCAAAUUGACCCCGUAACUUCGGGAGAAGGGGUGCUCCAGAGAUGGAGCCGCAGAGAAUCGGCCCAAGCAACUGUUUACCAAAAACACAGGUUUGUGCUAAAUCGAAAGAUGACGUAUACGAGCUGACGCCUGCCCGGUGCUGGAAGGUUAAGAGGAGAUGUGCAAGCAUUGAAUCGAAGCCCCAGUGAACGGCGGCCGUAACUAUAACGGUCCUAAGGUAGCGAAAUUCCUUGUCAGGUAAGUUCUGACCCGCA
This 1717-nucleotide ribosomal RNA is filed under the name human gut metagenome. RNAcentral's name for it is "bacterial LSU rRNA". It matches the Rfam family "Bacterial large subunit ribosomal RNA", at positions 178 to 1992 of the family's 2925-position model. The record is from RNAcentral.